GACGACGUGCCGAGUCGUUCACACUACUUCUAGUUUCUUUUCAAGCUGGUGGCAUUACAGGGUAUACUUCAGUAUGUGAUGCUAUAUUGAUAUGUGUGUGUGUGUGUGUGUGUGUGA
This is a long non-coding RNA of Salarias fasciatus (jewelled blenny), 117 nucleotides long. RefSeq lists it as uncharacterized. The transcript has 3 exons. The record is from RefSeq and is a predicted model, not a curated record. Lineage: Eukaryota; Metazoa; Chordata; Actinopteri; Blenniiformes; Blenniidae.